GCUUAUGGCAAAUGAACACCCCUCAUCUCGUCUGAUCUCAGAGGCUAAGGAGCGUCGGGUCUGUUUGGGAGGCCUUGGAUGGGAGACUGGGAAUGCCAGAUGCUGUAAUCU
RNAcentral lists this ribosomal RNA (111 nucleotides) under Cynoglossus semilaevis (tongue sole). Lineage: Eukaryota; Metazoa; Chordata; Actinopteri; Pleuronectiformes; Cynoglossidae. The record is from RNAcentral.